GACGAACGCUGGCGGCGUGCUUAACACAUGUAAGUCGAACGGACAGGCCCUGCUUUUGUGGGGUGCUCGAGUGGCGAACGGGUGAGUAACACGUGAGUAACCUGCCCCUGACUUUGGGAUAACUUCAGGAAAAUGGGGCUAAUACCGGAUAGGAGCUCCUGCUGCAUGGUGGGGGUUGGUAAGUUUCGGCGGUUGGGGAUGGACUCGCGGCUUAUCAGCUUGUUGGUGGGGUAGUGGCUUACCAAGGCUUUGACGGGUAGCCGGCCUGAGAGGGUGACCGGCCACAUUGGGACUGAGAUACGGCCCAGACUCCUACGGGAGGCAGCAGUGGGGAAUAUUGCACAAUGGGCGGAAGCCUGAUGCAGCAACGCCGCGUGCGGGAUGACGGCCUUCGGGUUGUAAACCGCUUUCGCCUGUGACGAAGCGUGAGUGACGGUAAUGGGUAAAGAAGCACCGGCUAACUACGUG
This 468-nucleotide ribosomal RNA is filed under the name uncultured bacterium. RNAcentral describes it as "partial 16S ribosomal RNA". It matches the Rfam family "Bacterial small subunit ribosomal RNA", at positions 28 to 507 of the family's 1533-position model. The record is from RNAcentral.